RNAcentral lists this ribosomal RNA (124 nucleotides) under Petromyzon marinus (sea lamprey). The record is from RNAcentral. Lineage: Eukaryota; Metazoa; Chordata; Hyperoartia; Petromyzontiformes; Petromyzontidae.
AUCGAUGACAAUAUCAUCCUGAAUGUGCGCGAUCUUAUCGGAUCUCCAAAGCUAAACAGUGUUGAGCCUGGUUAAUACAGUACGUGCAAGGGAGACUGCCUGGGAAUAACAAGUCUUGUGGGUU